Molecule: long non-coding RNA, 300 nt
Organism: Hibiscus syriacus
Lineage: Eukaryota; Viridiplantae; Streptophyta; Magnoliopsida; Malvales; Malvaceae
Exons: 3
Source: RefSeq, a predicted model, not a curated record
AGGAAUUGGAUCAGAGGUGUGAGGAACUACUAAAAGAGGAGUUUGGGGAGAGCUGCAACUUUGACGUGGAUGAUGCACUUGCAAAGCUACAGAACUUGAAAGUUCUUACUAAGGAUCCUACUGGGAAAUAUGCCUGUGUGGGAUUAGCGCGUGCUAAUGAUAUAAUUGGUGUGACCACUGAAGAAGUAGUGCUCAAGGCAAGACAGGGUGCCAUGUCAUCUUGAUUUGUGGAGAUUUCAGCCUUGGUGGGAGGGCAUGUGUUGUUGCAUUGGUCUUAAGUUGAAUAUCAAGUAAUCAACA